CGCAGCGUAGCUCAACUGGAUAGAGCCCUCGGUUUCUACAUACUCUCUGGCCGAGGAGGUGCAGGUUCGAAUCCUGCCGUUGCGU
This 85-nucleotide transfer RNA is filed under the name Beijerinckia sp. 28-YEA-48. It matches the Rfam family "tRNA". Rfam says of the family: Transfer RNA (tRNA) molecules are approximately 80 nucleotides in length. Their secondary structure includes four short double-helical elements and three loops (D, anti-codon, and T loops). The record is from Rfam by way of RNAcentral. RNAcentral also lists the same sequence under 1 other name. Lineage: Bacteria; Pseudomonadati; Pseudomonadota; Alphaproteobacteria; Hyphomicrobiales; Beijerinckiaceae.